UGGAAGAUAUAAUUGAGGCUGCUAACUUCGAUUGGGGGCUUUAAGCUCCGCUUCUAC
This 57-nucleotide transfer RNA is filed under the name Cerion tridentatum costellata. Its description in RNAcentral is "tRNA-Ser". Lineage: Eukaryota; Metazoa; Mollusca; Gastropoda; Stylommatophora; Cerionidae. The record is from RNAcentral.